Long non-coding RNA from Anopheles arabiensis, 916 nucleotides. RefSeq lists it as uncharacterized. The record is from RefSeq and is a predicted model, not a curated record. Lineage: Eukaryota; Metazoa; Arthropoda; Insecta; Diptera; Culicidae. The transcript has 3 exons.
UGAAAAUCGUGAACAGGUUUAAAAAUUGACGCAAUAAAGUCAAAAAAUUACUUUCUUGAAAAUAACCAGGUCCACAAGACGGUUGUAACAAUUUUUUCGCAGAUCCAACUUGCAUGCACGCAGUCUUUCCAGCUGACCCAAGAGGGAAAGCGCUUCGAGAAAAUCAUUCAAAGGCCAGUGAAACCGGCAAGGGAGUUCAGAAGCUCACAAUACGAAUCAUGUUUGCUUUACCAUUCCGAACACGAUCAAAUAAAUGGAUGCAUUUUUCUGUGUCAAACCCCACUCGUCAGCUCGGUCGACCGCGAGCAGUGCCUCUAGGGCCGCAACAGCUCGAACACAGCAAAGCUACUCGAUCGUAAUGAAAUAUCGAUGUAUUCAUAAUUCAAUUCGUCUUCUGUGUUUUACGAAACGCAACGGCACAGUACGGAAUAACGACUAGAACGACACUCAAGCUUUAUUGGCUUAAUGUGGGAAGCAAAAAGGAAUCCUGUCACAAAAGAUCUUCAAUAGCAUCAGAACAUAUCCUCUUGCGAGCAACAUCUCUUUGCCGGCGUGUCCGUUGUUAGUCACAAACCGGUGCUCUCUAGCCUGUGAGGUAAGAAGAAGCUCUUCCGAAUGCCAAAAGGACACCGGUUCUGAUUUAUUCCAUCCGUGGCUGUACGUUUGCACAAUGUGCUCUGACAUUUGCUUAAUCUAUGAUGGUAACGCAGGCUAUUCGGUCAUUGGAUUUGGUAGGAUCGAAAAUUAAAUGAAGAUGAGCUAUGAAGUCCGGGACAUACAGUAUCCCCUCGGAGCGAGUGCAUUCCUAUUGUUGUUCGGGUUGAUGAAUCACUGCUCAACUCAAGCACGAGCUGCAGUGAAAUAAGACACAAAAGCAUUCGAUCCACAACCGUCCUUAUAAUGCUGCAAAGACGUU